This 297-nucleotide ribosomal RNA is filed under the name uncultured bacterium. RNAcentral describes it as "partial 16S ribosomal RNA". It matches the Rfam family "Bacterial small subunit ribosomal RNA", at positions 333 to 628 of the family's 1533-position model. The record is from RNAcentral.
UCAGCCUACGGGGCGCAGCAGUGAGGAAUAUUGGUCAAUGGGUGCGAGCCUGAACCAGCCAAGUCGCGUGAGGGAUGACGGUCCUACGGACUGUAAACCUCUUUUGCCGGGGAGCAAGCGUGCGUUCGUGAACGCGCGUCGAGAGUACCCGGAGAAAAAGCAUCGGCUAACUCCGUGCCAGCAGCCGCGGUAAUACGGAGGAUGCGAGCGUUAUCAGGAUUUAUUGGGUUUAAAGGGUGCGUAGGCGGGAUGCCAAGUCAGCGGUAAAAAUGCGGUGAUCAACGCCGGGGAGCCGGU